GUUGACCUCGGAUCAGGUAGGGAUACCCGCUGAACUUAAGCAUAUCAAUAAGCGGAGGAAAAGAAACCAACAGGGAUUACCUCAGUAACGGCGAGUGAAGCGGUAACAGCUCAAAUUUGAAAGCUAGCUCUUCUAGGGUUCGCAUUGUAAUUUGUAGAAGAUGCUUCGGGUGUGGCCCCGGUCUAAGUUCCUUGGAACAGGACGUCAUAGAGGGUGAGAAUCCCGUAUGUGACUGGGUGCCUUCGCUCAUGUGAAGCUCUUUCGACGAGUCGAGUUGUUUGGGAAUGCAGCUCAAAAUGGGUGGUAAAUUUCAUCUAAAGCUAAAUAUUGGCCAGAGACCGAUAGCGCACAAGUAGAGUGAUCGAAAGAUGAAAAGCACUUUGGAAAGAGAGUUAAACAGUACGUGAAAUUGUUGAAAGGGAAGCGCUUGCAACCAGACUUGCGCGCUGAUGAUCAUCCGGGCUUCUGCCCGGUGCACUCGUCUGCGCUCAGGCCAGCAUCGGUUUCGGUGGUGGGAUAAAGGCCUUGGGAAUGUAGCUCCUCUCGGGGAGUGUUAUAGCCCUCGGUGCAAUGCCGCCUACCGGGACCGAGGACCGCGCUUCGGCUAGGAUGCUGGCGUAAUGGUUGUAAGCGACCCGUCUUGAAACACGGACCAAGGAGUCUAACAUCUAUGCGAGUGUUUGGGUGUCAAACCCAUACGCGGAGUGAAAGUGAACGGAGGUGAGAACCCUUAAGGGUGCAUCAUCGACCGGUCCUGAUGUCUUCGGAUGGAUCUGAGUAAGAGCAUAGCUGUUGGGACCCGAAAGAUGGUGAACUAUGCGUGAAUAGGGUGAAGCCAGAGGAAACUCUGGUGGAGGCUCGCAGCGGUUCUGACGUGCAAAUCGAUCGUCAAAUUUGCGUAUAGGGGCGAAAGACUAAUCGAACCAUUGACUUGCUCGCUACUAGGUGGUUAAGAGGUGUACGCAAAGGUACACUUAGUCCUUCAGUGGGCAACACUGUCAAAUUGCGGGGACGUCCUGUUUUAAAUGCUGAACUACCGCAGCCGCCCCGAAAGGGGCGGUGCGCACCAGGUUAAUGGCCUCGGGGAUGGUAAAAACGUUCAGAUAGGGAUGAUCCGCAGCCAAGUCCUACGGGGUCGCGCGACCCACGGAUGCAGUUCACAGACUAGAUGACAGUGGGUUAGAUGUUCUAGCUUAAGAUAUAGUCGAACCCCCCGAGAGAUCGGGGGCGGAGGGGUACCCCCAUCCAGGGUGUAUCGCUCCAUGUUGCUAGUAGCUGGUUCCUGCCGAAGUUUCCCUCAGGAUAGCAGUGUUGAAUUCAGUUUUAUGAGGUAAAGCGAAUGAUUAGAGGCCUUGGGGUUGCAACAACCUUAACCUAUUCUCAAACUUUAAAUAUGUAAGAAGUCCUUGUUACUUAAUUGAACGUGGACAUUCGAAUGUACCAACACUAGUGGGCCAUUUUUGGUAAGCAGAACUGGCGAUGCGGGAUGAACCGAACGUGAAGUUAAGGUGCCGGAAUCUACGCUCAUCAGACACCACAAAAGGUGUUAGUUCAUCUAGACAGCAGGACGGUGGCCAUGGAAGUCGGAAUCCGCUAAGGAAUGUGUAACAACUCACCUGCCGAAUGAACUAGCCCUGAAAAUGGAUGGCGCUUAAGCGUAGUACCCAUACUUCACCGCCAGGGUAGAAACGAUGCCCUGGCGAGUAGGCAGGCGUGGGGGUCAGUGACGAAGCCUUGGGAGUGAUCCCGGGUAGAACGGCCCCUAGUGCAGAUCUUGGUGGUAGUA
RNAcentral lists this ribosomal RNA (1786 nucleotides) under Rhynchobrunnera lolii. RNAcentral's name for it is "eukaryotic LSU rRNA". It matches the Rfam family "Eukaryotic large subunit ribosomal RNA", at positions 1 to 1462 of the family's 3401-position model. The record is from RNAcentral. Lineage: Eukaryota; Fungi; Ascomycota; Leotiomycetes; Helotiales; Ploettnerulaceae.